This 589-nucleotide ribosomal RNA is filed under the name uncultured bacterium. Its description in RNAcentral is "bacterial SSU rRNA". It matches the Rfam family "Bacterial small subunit ribosomal RNA", at positions 47 to 630 of the family's 1533-position model. The record is from RNAcentral. RNAcentral also lists the same sequence under 1 other name.
CCUAACACAUGCAAGUCGAACGAGAGGCCGUAGCAAUACGGUCGUACAGUGGCGAACGGGUGAGGAAGACGUGGGUAACCUACCCUCGAGUGGGGAAUAACCCGCCGAAAGGCGGGCUAAUACCGCGUACGCUUCUGUUCCUUCGGGGACGGAAGGAAAGCUGUGCCGUGGGCAUGGCGCUCAAGGAUGGGCUCACGCCCUAUCAGCUUGUUGGUAGGGUAACGGCCUACCAAGGCAACGACGGGUAGCUGGGCUGAGAGGACGAUCAGCCACACUGGCACUGCGACACGGGCCAGACUCCUACGGGAGGCAGCAGUGAGGAAUAUUGCGCAAUGGGCGAAAGCCUGACGCAGCGACGCCGCGUGGGGGAUGAAGGUCUUCGGAUUGUAAACCCCUUUCGGGAGGGAAGAUGGAACGGGCAACCGUUCGGACGGUACCUCCAGAAGAAGCCACGGCUAACUUCGUGCCAGCAGCCGCGGUAAUACGAAGGUGGCAAGCGUUGUUCGGAUUUACUGGGCGUAAAGGGAGCGUAGGCGGUUGGGUAAGCCCUUUGGGAAAGCUCCCGGCUAAACCGGGAAAGGUCGAAGGG